Pelobates cultripes (western spadefoot toad) is the source of this 1489-nucleotide non-coding RNA. The record is from the annotation of a GenBank genome assembly. Lineage: Eukaryota; Metazoa; Chordata; Amphibia; Anura; Pelobatidae.
GGGAAUUCAGCACAGAAGGCGGAACUGAUUGCAUUAACCAGGGCUUUGCAAUUAGCUGAAGGGCUGAGAUUGAAUAUCUACACUGAUUCGAAGUAUGCUUUUCUAACCACCCAUGCACAUGGAACAUUGUAUAAAGAAAGGGGAUUGCUGAAUUCAGAAGGAAAAGAGAUCAAGUAUGCGGCUGAAAUACUCCAACUGUUAGAGGCGGUAUGGGAACCGAAGGAAGUCAGUAUUAUACACUGUAGAGCACAUCUGAUGGGUGAUAGUGAUGUCAUCAAAGGAAAUCGCACGGCCGACAACGCAGCAAAAUAUGUCGCUGAAUCUGGGCAAGAGGAAUAUGUGGGAUAUGUCGCAGCCCUUGUACUGGCACCUCUGUCUCAAUGGACUCCAAUAUAUGCAACCCAAGAGAUGGAGUGGUUGAAAACUGAAGCUGGGAAAUAUCUGGAGAAUAACUGGUAUCAGUUAGAAGAUGGAAGAAUAGUUAUUCCGACAUCUCUGGCUAUAGAGAUUGUUCAAAACUUUCAUAAUGGUACACAUACUGGAAGAGAUAGUAUGGAAGAAUCUCUUAGGAAACAUUUCUAUAUACCAAGGUUAUCUAGUCUGAAUCAAGCCAUAGUUCGGAGAUGUGUUUUGUGUGCCCAAAAUAAUGCAAGACAAGGCCCUGUCAAACCCCCUGGAGUUCAGUAUAUGGGAGGACUCCCAAUGUCAGAUUUGCCAAUAGAUUACACUGUGAUGCCUAAAUCUGGGGGAUAUCGUUAUUUGUUGGUAGCUGUGUGCACCUACUCAGGCUGGGUAGAAGCUUGUCCAACUCGUACAGAAAAGGCAGGAGAAGUUCUACGAUUUCUGUUGCGAGAAGUUAUACCCAGAUAUGGACUUCCGUGUUCUAUAGGAUCAGAUAAUGGCCCAGCCUUUAUUCAUCAGUGUUUGCAACAACUAACUCGUGCUUGGUAUCAAGUGGAAACUUCAUACAGCCUAUAGACCUCAGAGUUCUGGAAAGGUGGAAAGGAUGAACUGAACAAUACAAACCCAGUUGGCUAAAAUGUGUCAGGAAACUCAGCUCAAGUGGAAUGUCCUUUUGCCAAUAGCUUUGUUGCGAAUACGUAGUACGCCUACCAGAAGGAUGGGUUUGUCUCCCUUUGAAAUUAUGUAUGGGCGUCCACCUCCCAUAUUAAGUAAUCUAAGGGGGAACUUAAAUCACUUGGGUGAAGGAAUUACUUGGCAGCAGGUUGUAGAGUUGGGUAAAACUAUGGAGAAGGUGCAGAAAUGGGUGCAAGAUAGGUUACCUGUGAACAUAUAUCAUUCCUAUCAACCAGGAGAUCAAGUGUGGCUAAAAGAAUUGAAUAUUGUUCCAUUAGGUCAAAAGUGGAGGGGUCCUUAUGUUGUUCUUUUAUCUACCCCAACAGCUGUAAAGGUGGCAGAGGUGACUCCAUGGAUUCAUCAUUCUAGGGCAAGCUAUCCCAGAUCCUGAGAAUCCUUGCAAGAUCCGGUU